Molecule: transfer RNA, 72 nt
Filed under: Bos indicus x Bos taurus (hybrid cattle)
Lineage: Eukaryota; Metazoa; Chordata; Mammalia; Artiodactyla; Bovidae
Rfam family: tRNA
About the family: Transfer RNA (tRNA) molecules are approximately 80 nucleotides in length. Their secondary structure includes four short double-helical elements and three loops (D, anti-codon, and T loops).
Source: Rfam by way of RNAcentral
UUCCCUGUAGCUCAGACGGUAAAGAAUCUGCCUGCAAUGCAGAAGACCUGGGUUAGAUCCCUGGAUUGGAAA